This 495-nucleotide unclassified non-coding RNA is filed under the name Hevea brasiliensis (rubber tree). The record is from RNAcentral. Lineage: Eukaryota; Viridiplantae; Streptophyta; Magnoliopsida; Malpighiales; Euphorbiaceae.
AUCACUGACUACCCGUUUUUAUCUAUGGGUAUCCAAUACACAUCAUCGUUCCGAUUAACGAUUCCCAGUUAACGAACAGCAUCUCUGUCCCUCGUUGUUACCCUCUGCAAACCAAAGACCCUCAGAUCCGACUCACGACAUUGAAAGCGAUAGCCAUGGAGUAUGCCACUCGAAGAAGUCAAGGCGGCCUCUUUGAAGGUCUCUACAGGCUCAUCAUGUGCCGCAACUCCAUCUACGUCACCUUCGUUAUUGCUGGAGCUUUCGCCGGUGAACGGGCUGUGGAUUAUGGAGUUCGUAAGCUUUGGGAUUACAACAAUGCUGGGAAGCAUUAUGAAGACAUUCCAGUUUUAGGACAAAGGCAAUCAGAAGAAUGAGUGGAACUCCUUUUUCCUGCCAUUUUGAAGUUCCAUAUUGAAGAUUUGGAGUCAGCAUUAAUGUAGUGGAUAGCAAUUUUUGUAAUAAAUAUAAUUUGUUGGAUGCACCACACUUUUUUUG